UGCUGCGGUAGCUGGGAUUGUAUGCUGCUGGAGUGAACCCUUUACAGUGCUGCGGUAGCUGGGAUUGUAUGCUGCUGGAGUGAACCCUUUACAGUGCUGCGGUAGCUGGGAUUGUAUGCUGCUGGAGUGAACCCUUUACAGUGCUGCGGUAGCUGGGAUUGUAUGCUGCUGGAGUGAACCCUUUACAGUGCUGCGGUAGCUGGGAUUGUAUGCUGCUGGAGUGAACCCUUUAAGCCCUUCUGUGUUGUUUUUCUUGGGUGCCUUGUGACCGUGACGCAUCAUCUAUAGAAUAUUGGUUUCAACUCUGGUUCUGAAACUCUAUCGUUUAUUAUAAAGGUUGUCUGUUUCCUCUGUCUGCUCCACAGAACACUAUGCUGUGAGUGAGCUGGUGAAAGCCUCCAAAGACGGACAGGAUAUAGACGGCGAGGUACUCACCUAUCUGGAGCUGGCUCAGUUCCAUAAUGCUAACCAGUUAGCAGCUUGGUGCCUACAUCACAUCUGCACUCACUACAACAAUGUCUGUGCCAACUAUCGCAAAGAGAUCAAGGCCAAAUCUGCAGAGAACCAGGAAUACUUUGAGAAGCACCGCUGGCCCCCGGUGUGGUACCUGAAGGAGGAGGACCACUACCAGCGGGUGAGGAAGGAGAGGGAGAAGGAGGACGUGGUUCUCAACAAACACCACAGCAGACGACGUUGGUGCUUCUGGAGCACCUCCCCUGCCGUGGCCUGAGAGGAGGUCUGAGGAGGGUCAGCCCCAAACCGCCCAGGGAAUCUGCCACCUGCCCCGUGCUCCAGCUUCUAACCCUGCACCCCGCAAAGAGGUCCCACCUGCCCCGUGCUCCAGCUUCUAACCCUGCUCCCCGCAAAGAGGUCCCAACAACACACGCUGUCCCAACAACACACGCUGUCCCAACAACACACGCUGUCCCAACAACACACGCU
Molecule: long non-coding RNA, 942 nt
Organism: Salvelinus namaycush (lake trout)
Lineage: Eukaryota; Metazoa; Chordata; Actinopteri; Salmoniformes; Salmonidae
Exons: 3
Source: RefSeq, a predicted model, not a curated record